GGCAGUGGCUUAUUAAAGUUCCAGUCUCUCAGGUGGCGUGGGAUCAAAUCCCACCACUGCCA
This 62-nucleotide transfer RNA is filed under the name Larimichthys crocea (large yellow croaker). It matches the Rfam family "tRNA". From Rfam's summary of the family: Transfer RNA (tRNA) molecules are approximately 80 nucleotides in length. Their secondary structure includes four short double-helical elements and three loops (D, anti-codon, and T loops). The record is from Rfam by way of RNAcentral. Lineage: Eukaryota; Metazoa; Chordata; Actinopteri; Sciaenidae.